RNAcentral lists this ribosomal RNA (251 nucleotides) under uncultured bacterium. Its description in RNAcentral is "partial 16S ribosomal RNA". It matches the Rfam family "Bacterial small subunit ribosomal RNA", at positions 525 to 775 of the family's 1533-position model. The record is from RNAcentral.
ACGUAGGGUGCAAGCGUUGUCCGGAAUUACUGGGUGUAAAGGGAGCGCAGGCGGACCGGCAAGUUGGAAGUGAAAACUAUGGGCUCAACCCAUAAAUUGCUUUCAAAACUGCUGGCCUUGAGUAGUGCAGAGGUAGGUGGAAUUCCCGGUGUAGCGGUGGAAUGCGUAGAUAUCGGGAGGAACACCAGUGGCGAAGGCAACCUACUGGGCACCAACUGACGCUGAGGCUCGAAAGCAUGGGUAGCAAACAG